UUUGUCUUAUAGUAAUAUUUUGAAAUUAAUUUUUUAGUUAAAAAGCUAAAAUUAACUUUAAAGACAAGAAGACCCUAUUAAGCUUUACAAUUUUAUAUUAUUUUCAAACUAAUAAAACAAUUGUUCUGCUGGGGCAGCAAAUAAAUAAAUAUUAUUUAUAUAUUGUGAUAAAUAAAUCUAGAAAAAUCAAUAAUUUAUUAAAUAACAACAAGUUACUAUAGGGAUAACAGCAUAAUUUUUUUAAAGAGUUCUCAUCAACAAAAAAGUUUGUGACCUCGAUGUUGGAUU
Molecule: ribosomal RNA, 288 nt
Filed under: Paruroctonus boreus
Lineage: Eukaryota; Metazoa; Arthropoda; Arachnida; Scorpiones; Vaejovidae
Description: partial 16S ribosomal RNA
Source: RNAcentral